GCAAGCGUUAAUCGGAAUUACUGGGCGUAAAGCGUGCGCAGGCGGUUAUGUAAGGCAGAUGUGAAAUGCCCGGGCUUAACCUGGGAACUGCAUUUGUGACUGCAUGGCUAGAGUUUGGCAGAGGGGGGUAGAAUUCCACGUGUAGCAGUGAAAUGCGUAGAUAUGUGGAGGAACACCGAUGGCGAAGGCAGCCCCCUGGGUCAAGACUGACGCUCAUGCACGAAAGCGUGGGGAGCAAACAGG
This 243-nucleotide ribosomal RNA is filed under the name uncultured bacterium. Its description in RNAcentral is "partial 16S ribosomal RNA". It matches the Rfam family "Bacterial small subunit ribosomal RNA", at positions 534 to 776 of the family's 1533-position model. The record is from RNAcentral.